This 240-nucleotide long non-coding RNA is filed under the name Gallus gallus (chicken). Lineage: Eukaryota; Metazoa; Chordata; Aves; Galliformes; Phasianidae. The record is from RNAcentral.
GGCAGCUUUAUCAAAUUCAUCAUAGCCCCAGGAGAAGAUGGAGCUGUCCUCGGUGGAGGUGCCUGCGUAACUCGGGCUAGCAGACCAUGAAUUCCCAUCAUCAGUUGGAGUCACAGAAGGGUAAUCUGAUUCCUUCGAGAUUUCGGACUCACUUGAAGCCCCCGGGCAGCUCUCAGAGGUGGGUGUGACGGGGCUGGGCUCUGGCAGCGGGUGGUGCCGCACGGCGUGCUGCGUCAGGCC